UACGAAGGGGGCUAGCGUUGUUCGGAAUUACUGGGCGUAAAGCGCACGUAGGCGGAUAUUUAAGUCAGAGGUGAAAUCCCAAGGCUCAACCUUGGAACUGCCUUUGAUACUGGGGAUCUUGAGUCCGGGAGAGGUGAGUGGAACUGCGAGUGUAGAGGUGAAAUUCGUAGAUAUUCGCAAGAACACCAGUGGCGAAGGCGGACUCACUGGUCCGGUACUGACGCUGAGGUGCGAAAGCGUGGGGGAGCAAACAGG
This 255-nucleotide ribosomal RNA is filed under the name uncultured bacterium. RNAcentral's name for it is "partial 16S ribosomal RNA". It matches the Rfam family "Bacterial small subunit ribosomal RNA", at positions 524 to 776 of the family's 1533-position model. The record is from RNAcentral.